CCGGUAAACGGCGGCCGUAACUAUAACGGUCCUAAGGUAGCGAAAUUCCUUGUCGGGUAAGUUCCGACCUGCACGAAUGGCGUAAUGAUGGCCAGGCUGUCUCCACCCGAGACUCAGUGAAAUUGAACUCGCUGUGAAGAUGCAGUGUACCCGCGGCAAGACGGAAAGACCCCGUGAACCUUUACUAUAGCUUGACACUGAACAUUGAGCCUUGAUGUGUAGGAUAGGUGGGAGGCUUUGAAGUGUGGACGCCAGUCUGCAUGGAGCCGACCUUGAAAUACCACCCUUUAAUGUUUGAUGUUCUAACGUUGACCCGUAAUCCGGGUUGCGGACAGUGUCUGGUGGGUAGUUUGACUGGGGCGGUCUCCUCCUAAAGAGUAACGGAGGAGCACGAAGGUUGGCUAAUCCUGGUCGGACAUCAGGAGGUUAGUGCAAUGGCAUAAGCCAGCUUGACUGCGAGCGUGACGGCGCGAGCAGGUGCGAAAGCAGGUCAUAGUGAUCCGGUGGUUCUGAAUGGAAGGGCCAUCGCUCAACGGAUAAAAGGUACUCCGGGGAUAACAGGCUGAUACCGCCCAAGAGUUCAUAUCGACGGCGGUGUUUGGCACCUCGAUGUCGGCUCAUCACAUCCUGGGGCUGAAGUAGGUCCCAAGGGUAUGGCUGUUCGCCAUUUAAAGUGGUACGCGAGCUGGGUUUAGAACGUCGUGAGACAGUUCGGUCCCUAUCUGCCGUGGGCGCUGGAGAACUGAGGGGGGCUGCUCCUAGUACGAGAGGACCGGAGUGGACGCAUCACUGGUGUUCGGGUUGUCAUGCCAAUGGCACUGCCCGGUAGCUAAAUGCGGAAGAGAUAAGUGCUGAAAGCAUCUAAGCACGAAACUUGCCCCGAGAUGAGUUCUCCCUGACUCCUUGAGAGUCCUGAAGGAACGUUGAAGACGACGACGUUGAUAGGCCGGGUGUGUAAGCGCAGCGAUGCGUUGAGCUAACCGGUACUAAUGAACCGUGAGG
This 1002-nucleotide ribosomal RNA is filed under the name Escherichia coli. Its description in RNAcentral is "partial 23S ribosomal RNA". It matches the Rfam family "Bacterial large subunit ribosomal RNA", at positions 1920 to 2916 of the family's 2925-position model. The record is from RNAcentral. Lineage: Bacteria; Pseudomonadati; Pseudomonadota; Gammaproteobacteria; Enterobacterales; Enterobacteriaceae.